Molecule: non-coding RNA, 321 nt
Organism: Paramuricea clavata
Lineage: Eukaryota; Metazoa; Cnidaria; Anthozoa; Malacalcyonacea; Plexauridae
Source: the annotation of a GenBank genome assembly
CGCCGUUCGUUCAUGCUGUUUUUUCUUGUUUUUACUCGCGUAUUUAAUCUGCCACUUGCUAUAAAAUUACAUACCGCUGGCUGAACCUAGCUGCUGACAGGGGGGGGGGGGGCGAACUCAAAUGGUGCUCCCAAAGUCGGCAAAGUUCCUUAAAUUUCCAUUUUAUUUCAUUGAAUACAGAGGCAAAUUCACGAAUUGCUGAAAAAUAAUUCAGAACGGAUUCACAGAGUUGAAGAUAUGGUGACGAAACUGUGUAACAUGAUUGGUGCGUUCGCUGAUGCUAGCUCACCACAGGUCGUUACCACAUCUUGUCAAGAGAAG